CAGAGAAUAGUUUAGUUCUAGAAUGUUAGCUUUGGGAGUUGACGGUAGAGGUUUAAGUCCUCUUUCUCUGA
RNAcentral lists this transfer RNA (71 nucleotides) under Upupa epops (Eurasian hoopoe). It matches the Rfam family "tRNA". Rfam says of the family: Transfer RNA (tRNA) molecules are approximately 80 nucleotides in length. The record is from Rfam by way of RNAcentral. Lineage: Eukaryota; Metazoa; Chordata; Aves; Bucerotiformes; Upupidae.